RNAcentral lists this ribosomal RNA (440 nucleotides) under uncultured bacterium. Its description in RNAcentral is "partial 16S ribosomal RNA". It matches the Rfam family "Bacterial small subunit ribosomal RNA", at positions 338 to 795 of the family's 1533-position model. The record is from RNAcentral.
CCUACGGGUGGCAGCAGUGGGGAAUAUUGCACAAUGGGGGAAACCCUGAUGCAGCGACGCCGCGUGAGUGAAGAAGUAAUUCGUUACGUAAAGCUCUAUCAGCAGGGAAGAAAAUGACGGUACCUGAGUAAGAAGCCCCUGCUAACUACGUGCCAGCAGCCGCGGUAAUACGUAGGGGGCAAGCGUUAUCCGGAUUUACUGGGUGUAAAGGGAGCGUAGACGGUGCGCCAAGUCUGGAGUGAAAUGCCGCAGCUUAACUACGGAACUGCUUUGGAAACUGGCGAACGAGAGUGCGGGAGGGGUAAGCGGAAUUCCUAGUGGAGCGGUGGAAUGCGUAGAUAUUAGGAGGAACAUCAGGGGCGAAGGCGACUUACUGGACUGUAACUGACACUGAGGCACGAAAGCGUGGGGAGCAAACAGGAUUAGAUACCCCUGUAGUC